Molecule: ribosomal RNA, 116 nt
Filed under: Danio rerio (zebrafish)
Lineage: Eukaryota; Metazoa; Chordata; Actinopteri; Cypriniformes; Danionidae
Source: RNAcentral
GCUGGGAGCUAUAGCUCUCUGCAGCUCUCAUAUAGUUGCCCACUGAAGCCAAGCAAGAAGGGCCGAGUCAGUAACUGGAUGGGGGACCACAUGGGAAAGCUAGGUUGCUUCUGGAA